This 520-nucleotide ribosomal RNA is filed under the name uncultured Glomus. RNAcentral's name for it is "SSU rRNA". It matches the Rfam family "Eukaryotic small subunit ribosomal RNA", at positions 569 to 1092 of the family's 1831-position model. Lineage: Eukaryota; Fungi; Glomeromycota; Glomeromycetes; Glomerales; Glomeraceae. The record is from RNAcentral.
AGCAGCCGCGGUAAUUCCAGCUCCAAUAGCGUAUAUUAAAGUUGUUGCAGUUAAAAAGCUCGUAGUUGAAUUUCGGGAUCAAUAUAUCGGUCGUGCCCCUGUACGUACUGGUAUCAUUGAUUUCUCCUUUCUGACGAACAAUGAUGUCAUUAAUUUGGUGUUAUAGGGAGUUAGGACUGUUACUUUGAAAAAAUUAGAGUGUUUAAAGCAGGCAUUAGCUUGAAUACAUUGGCAUGGAAUAAUGAAAUAGGACGUUUGACCUUAUUUUGUUGGUUUCUAGGAUCGACGUAAUGAUUAAUAGGGAUAGUUGGGGGCAUUAGUAUUCAAUUGCCAGAGGUGAAAUUCUUGGAUUUAUUGAAGACUAACUACUGCGAAAGCAUUUGCCAAGGAUGUUUUCAUUAAUCAAGAACGAAAGUUAGGGGAUCGAAGACGAUCAGAUACCGUCGUAGUCUUAACCAUAAACUAUGCCGACUAGGGAUUGGAUGAUGUUAAUUUUUAAUGACUCAUUCGGCGCCUUACG